GGAUGUGAGGGCGAUCUGGCUGUGACAUCUGUCACCCCAUUGAUCGCCAGGGUUGAUUUGGCUGAUCUGGCUGGCUUGGCAGGUGUCCCCUUCCUCCCUCACCGCUCCAUGUGAGUCUCUCCCCAAGUUGCGUGCUUGGCUGAAGAGGCGACCUUCCCCAAAUAGAGGAGGACCGGUCUUCGGUCAAGGGUAUACGAGUAGCUGUGUUCUCCUGCUGGAACCUCCAAACAAGCUCUCAAAGUAGGUGAACCGGAGCCUGGAAGCAAGUAGUAAGCAGUGUUCUU
This 284-nucleotide small nuclear RNA is filed under the name Peromyscus maniculatus bairdii (prairie deer mouse). RNAcentral's name for it is "7SK RNA (ENSPEMG00000003619.2)". It matches the Rfam family "7SK RNA", at positions 1 to 279 of the family's 331-position model. From Rfam's summary of the family: 7SK was discovered as an abundant small nuclear RNA in the mid-70s but a possible function has only recently been suggested. Two independent studies have found that 7SK RNA binds the CDK9/cyclin T complex (known as elongation factor P-TEFb). Lineage: Eukaryota; Metazoa; Chordata; Mammalia; Rodentia; Cricetidae. The record is from RNAcentral.